UUUAAACGUAGCCAUAAGUUUUUAGUGUCCAAUUUGAAUCAUCCAUUUUAUUUGAAAUUUUUUAUGAUUGAUAAUAAUAUUAUUAUUAGAUGAUAAAAUAUUAAUAAUAUGUGUGACUUAUGUUUUAUAUUUUUUAAAAAAAAUUUAAAUAAGACGGACGAUUAAAAUCGGACACGAAAACUCAUGGCUACGUUUAAA
This is a microRNA precursor of Oryza rufipogon (brownbeard rice), 198 nucleotides long. It matches the Rfam family "MIR812 microRNA precursor family". Lineage: Eukaryota; Viridiplantae; Streptophyta; Magnoliopsida; Poales; Poaceae. The record is from Rfam.